Molecule: unclassified non-coding RNA, 1125 nt
Filed under: Haliotis rufescens (red abalone)
Lineage: Eukaryota; Metazoa; Mollusca; Gastropoda; Lepetellida; Haliotidae
Description: uncharacterized LOC124143474, transcript variant X2
Source: RNAcentral
CAAUGCUGCUCAUCUCUCUGUUCGUGGUUGUGUUGGGGGUUGCUGAGAUACAUGGUGCUGUGAUCCCCGUCGUCGGGUCACAGGUCUCUUCCUCCUCAGUCUUCACCUUCGGCUCCACGAACUACGGUCCACAGUUUGCCGUAGAUUGCGGAUUUGGCACCGACUUCACCGUUGACAACACUACGUUUGCAACAGCUACCACAGACACAACGCCCUACAUGGACAUCGACCUCGGCAGCAACUUCUUCCUCAUCUCCGUCACCAUCACCAACAGGGGUGACUGCUGUUCUGAACGUCUCCGAAACAUCAGAGUCGAGGUGUACAAUAACAACCCAACACUCGGAGGAACGCCAGAAGUCUGCACUACAAUCGGCAGCACCGCCCCCGCCGCUAGUUCCAACACCACGUUCACCUGUUCGGCCAUGGCAUUCGGAAGGUACAUCCGUUUUAACAAGUUCAGCAAGGUCGACGCUAAUGACGUCCUUCAGUUAGUAGAGGUUGUCCUUGAUGGCGUCCAGCUAAUUUCUGUGAUCCCCGUCCAUGGGUCACAGGUCUCUUCCUCCUCAGUCUUCACCUUCGACUCCACGAACUACGGUCCACAGUUUGCCGUGGACGGAGGAUUUGGAACCGACUUCGCCGUUGACAACACUACGUUUGCAACGGCUGUUGAAGACACAACGCCCUACAUGGACAUCGACCUGGGCACCAACGUCCUCCUCCGCUCUGUCACCAUCACCAACAGGGCUGACUGCUGUUCCGAGCGUCUUCGAAACAUCAUCAUCGAGGUGUAUGACAACAACCCAACUCUUGGAGGAACGCCUCAAGUGUGCACCACAAUCGGCAGCACCGCCCCAGCCGCCGGGUCGACCACGACAUUCAACUGCUCGGGGAUGCCAAUCGGAAAGUACAUCCGUCUUAAAAAGAGCUCCAAGGUCGACGCUUCUGAUAUCCUUCAGUUAGUAGAGGUGGUCCUAGAUGGCGUCCAGCAACACUGUUCUUGACACCACUUCCAGCUGGACGAAAACUGUUUCUCCUUCUCUGGAUUCCAAACAACCUAUGCCCAAGCGAAGUGGCGAUAUCUCUUUGGUGACGUUGUUCCCCUGAAUGGCUUCACCUCUCCCCUCG